This 497-nucleotide ribosomal RNA is filed under the name uncultured bacterium. RNAcentral describes it as "partial 16S ribosomal RNA". It matches the Rfam family "Bacterial small subunit ribosomal RNA", at positions 28 to 507 of the family's 1533-position model. The record is from RNAcentral.
GAUGAACGCUGGCGGCGUGCCUAGUACAUGCAAGUCGAGCGAACAGACGAGGAGCUUGCUCCUCUGACGUUAGCGGCGGACGGGUGAGUAACACGUGGAUAACCUACCUAUAAGACUGGGAUAACUUCGGGAAACCGGAGCUAAUACCGGAUAAUAUAUUGAACCGCAUGGUUCAAUAGUUAAAGACGGUUUUGCUGUCACUUAUAGAUGGAUCCGCGCCGCAUUAGCUAGUUGGUAAGGUAACGGCUUACCAAGGCGACGAUGCGUAGCCGACCUGAGAGGGUGAUCGGCCACACUGGAACUGAGACACGGUCCAGACUCCUACGGGAGGCAGCAGUAGGGAAUCUUCCGCAAUGGGCGAAAGCUUGACGGAGCAACGCCGCGUGAGUGAUGAAGGUCUUCGGAUCGUAAAACUCUGUUAUUAGGGAAGAACAAAUGUGUAAGUAACUAUGCACGUCUUGACGGUACCUAAUCAGAAAGCCACGGCUAACUACGUG